RNAcentral lists this transfer RNA (67 nucleotides) under Anotogaster sieboldii. RNAcentral's name for it is "tRNA-Asp". The record is from RNAcentral. Lineage: Eukaryota; Metazoa; Arthropoda; Insecta; Odonata; Cordulegastridae.
AAGAAAUUAGUUAAAAUAUAACAUUAGUAUGUCAAACUGAAUUUAUUGAACUUUUCAAUAUUUCUUA